Molecule: long non-coding RNA, 847 nt
Filed under: Aotus nancymaae (Ma's night monkey)
Lineage: Eukaryota; Metazoa; Chordata; Mammalia; Primates; Aotidae
Description: lncRNA (ENSANAG00000039009.1)
Source: RNAcentral
UAGGGCUGCUCCUGUCCUCAGGACCCCUUGAGGGACUACACUGUUGUGCAGGUUUCCUACAUAGGAUUCUUGCUAAAACAGAAAUUGUCGUUCCUGUGUCAGAGUGAGCCUGAGAUUCUGUAUUUGGAGUAGGCAGUCAGGGGAUGCCAGUGCUCAUGGGUCCUGUUUGCUAUUUCCAGGAGCAAUUCUCAGUAUUGUUCUUUGGAUGUAAUUAUUGUAGAUGUGGGGUCUGUAUUUAAAGGCCUCUUCUGGAGAUCGUCUUCAUUUUUCUUCCUAAUUUCUUUCAUCACAUAACUCAAACACACUGACUGGCAACAUAGAUGGAAACAGAGAGGUAGUUCCUAAAUUACCCUUUCGUGAAUGGCUCAUUUUGAGGACUCUUUGCUUCUCUAGGGACAGAUUAAAUGGUCUGCAGGUAGCCAUGGGAUGACAUCACAAUGGGUUUGGUAGUGGGAAGAACUGAAAUCACAGUAAAGUAAGCAAACAUCAAUAGAUUUGUAGUAUCAUGUCAUUCUGUUGAGAAUCAUUUGGUACCUACUCUAGCUUGGGAAUGAUCCUUGAUCUCAGCUGUCCGAGUAAUUCUGGGGAGCAGUGCCCCUUUCUCUUCCAGUGUCUAGGGAACAGUGUCCUGCAUGUGGGAAUGGCAACAUCUCCACAGAGGCUGUGCUGUGAUUGGUGGUGGUUUCUAACAUAUUGGCUGCAAAUACGCAGCCAUUGUAUGGCAGGAAAGAGUUCCUGGAGAGAGAAGACAAAGACGGUGUGUGUUGCAAAAGGAAGCCCCAGGCUCAAGACUGGAGAACUGAAUGUGCAACUUGCAAGGGUACUGGAGACAAUGAAAAUCAUGUGA